RNAcentral lists this ribosomal RNA (244 nucleotides) under uncultured bacterium. RNAcentral describes it as "partial 16S ribosomal RNA". It matches the Rfam family "Bacterial small subunit ribosomal RNA", at positions 528 to 772 of the family's 1533-position model. The record is from RNAcentral.
UAGGGGGCGAGCGUUAUCCGGAUUUAUUGGGCGUAAAGCGUGUGUAGGCGGUUUAUUAAGUCUAAGAUUAAAGCCUGGAGCUUAACUUCAGUUCGUCUUAGAAACUGGUAGACUUGAGUGUGGUAGAGGCAAGUGGAAUUUCUAGUGUAGCGGUUAAAUGCGUAGAUAUUAGAAGGAACACCAGUGGCGAAGGCGACUUGCUGGGCCAUUACUGACGCUGAGACACGAAAGCGUGGGGAGCAAA